CCUGUGUUCAUUUCUCCCUCAGGAGGGCUGGGGUGAUGAUCUCCGGCAGAUUCUUGGUGGCUGUUGUCCAGGUGUGGGACCCUCUCAAGGGCCUACAAAUUGUGGGAUUUUGACUUGUAAAGUGAGUAUGGUACAAAGUACCUUUGGGUGCCCACUUCUCUUCCCCUCUCCCCACAGAUGCCUGUGUGCUCCUACUUUCUGAAGGGGAUCUGCAGCAACAGCAACUGCCCCUACAGCCACGUGUAUGUGUCCCGCAAGGCCGAAGUCUGCGGUGACUUCCUCAAAGGCUAUUGCCCACUGGGUGCGAAGUGUAAGAAGAAGCACACACUGCUGUGUCCUGACUUUGCCCGCAGGGGUGUUUGUCCCCG
This 368-nucleotide long non-coding RNA is filed under the name Rattus norvegicus (Norway rat). RNAcentral describes it as "long non-coding RNA NONRATT027029". The record is from RNAcentral. Lineage: Eukaryota; Metazoa; Chordata; Mammalia; Rodentia; Muridae.